This 398-nucleotide ribosomal RNA is filed under the name uncultured bacterium. RNAcentral's name for it is "partial 16S ribosomal RNA". It matches the Rfam family "Bacterial small subunit ribosomal RNA", at positions 523 to 918 of the family's 1533-position model. The record is from RNAcentral.
AUACGUAGGGGGCGAGCGUUGUCCGGAAUUACUGGGCGUAAAGAGCUCGUAGGUGGUUUGUCGCGUCGUCUGUGAAGUUCCGGGGCUUAACUCCGGGCGUGCAGGCGAUACGGGCAUAACUUGAGUACUGUAGGGGAGACUGGAAUUCCUAGUGUAGCGGUGAAAUGCGCAGAUAUCAGGAGGAACACCGGUGGCGAAGGCGGGUCUCUGGGCAGUAACUGACGCUGAGGAGCGAAAGCAUGGGUAGCGAACAGGAUUAGAUACCCUGGUAGUCCAUGCCGUAAACGGUGGGCGCUAGGUGUAGGGGUCUUCCACGACUUCUGUGCCGUAGCUAACGCAUUAAGCGCCCCGCCUGGGGAGUACGGCCGCAAGGCUAAAACUCAAAUGAAUUGGCGGGG